This 1064-nucleotide long non-coding RNA is filed under the name Anas platyrhynchos platyrhynchos (common mallard). RNAcentral's name for it is "lncRNA (ENSAPLG00000030902.1)". The record is from RNAcentral. Lineage: Eukaryota; Metazoa; Chordata; Aves; Anseriformes; Anatidae.
GAGAACUGGGAGCUACUGGGAGGGGUUACUGGGGGGACUGGGAGGGGUUUUGGGUGGGUUUGAGGUGGUUUUAGGGGGGUUUUGAGGUGGUGGUUGUGGUUUAGAGGUGCUGGGAGGUGACUGGGAGGACUGGGAGGGGUUACUGGGAGCACUGGGAGGGACUGGGAGGGACUGGGAGGGGUUUGGGGUGGGUUUGGGGCGGUUUUAAUGGGGUUUUGGGGUGGUGGUUGUGGUUUAGAGGUGCUGGGAGGUUACUGGGAGGACUGGGAGGGGUUACUGGGAGCACUGGGAGGACUGGGCGGGGUUACUGGGAGCACUGGGAAGGGUGCAGGAACUCCAGCAGCACCCACAGCCCAAGUUACUGUGGGUUACUGGUCAUACUGGGCUUUUACUGGGCGCUUCCUGGUCAUACUAAGAGCUUACUGCUCUUACUGGGAGCAUACUGGUUCAUACUGGGAGCAUACUGGUGCCCACCUGAGGUCCUUGAUGGAGAAGGAAGCCCUCCAGGCCCACCCAUGGCUCAAGUUACUGGGGGUUACUGGUGGUACUGGUCUCUUAGUGCUCUUACUGGGAGCAUACUGGGAGCAUACUGGUUCCUACUGGUGCCCACCUGAGCUCCUUGAUGGAGAAGGAGCCUCCCCAGGACCUCCAGCAGCACCCAUGGCUCAAGUUACUGGUCAUACUGGGCUCUUAGUGCUCUUACUGGGUGCUUACUUCUCUUACUGGGAGCUUACUGGUCUUACUGGGAAUAUACUGGUCAUACUGGGAGCAUACUGGUUCAUACUGGGAGCGUACUGGUGCCCACCUGAGGUCCUCAAUGGUAAAGGAAGCCCCCCAGCACCUCCAGGAGCACCCAUGGCUCAAGUUACUGGUCAUACUGGUCUCUUGGUGCUCUUACUGGGAGCAUACUGGUUCAUACUGGGAGCAUACUGGUUUCUACUGGUUCCUACUGGUGCCCACCUGAGGUCCCUGAUGGAGAAGGAGCCUCCCCAGGACCUCCAGGAGCACCCAUGGCUCAAGUUACUGGUCAUACUGGGCUCUUGGUGCUCUUACUGGGAGCAUAC